RNAcentral lists this long non-coding RNA (1624 nucleotides) under Brassica napus (rape). RNAcentral describes it as "long non-coding RNA (BNAP_LNC009376)". The record is from RNAcentral. Lineage: Eukaryota; Viridiplantae; Streptophyta; Magnoliopsida; Brassicales; Brassicaceae.
CCUCCUCAGGCACUGUAUGAGAAAUGGGGUGGCUCAAUUCUUUCUUCUCUCCCUUGAAGAAACUAUGGUUUCGCGUCAAUUCUACUCAGAAGAAGAGUAUGGCCUCUCUUUCACUCUCUAUAUCUUUCUCUCUACCGAUUCUAUAUCUAUUUUCCAGCAUUAUAUUUGAAUUCACACACACACACACACAUAUAUAUAUAUAUCUUUAUAAUUAAUGACCCAGUAGAUCAGGUAUACUUCUUUUUUUUCGUGGUUCAUAUAUACUCUCUCAAUGAAACUAUGAAAAUGAAUUUUGUUUGCAUCAUGAACCUAUGUAUAUGUGUGUAUGCGGCAUUGUGUUAAAGUAGAAAGAUGGAUAAUGUGCAGGAAGAGGAAUCCCCUAUAUAUUAUUUGUGAAACAUUACAACUUCUUUUUGUAGCCACAUGUCAUUACUAGGAUGAUUCUUAGAAUUAUUAGAGAAAUAGGUUGGUCCAUCUCAUUAUAUAAUAAGCUUUUUAUUAAACUAACCAUAAAUUAAUUAUUAAUAUCAUUUAUUAUUUCAUUAAAUAAAGAUUACGGAAUUGCCUAAUGUGGGUAGAGUAUAUAUGACAAUUAAUGAUUUUGAAUAAUAAAGAUCUGAUAAAAAAUGUAUCUUCUAUCAAUUUUUUUUAAUUUAAAACUAUUAAAAUAAUUUUAAAAAAAAAACACAAUAACCAUAUUAUAAAAAUUAGAUUUUUCUGUAUAUUUUAUAUUUUGAAUUUUAAAAAAUGACUAUAAAUUACUAAAACUGUUAAAAGUCUCACAUUCAAAUUUUGCGAUCCAUGGUUUAAAAUUUUUGUUAUGACAAAAUACAAAUGAUUACAAAAUCAUAUAAAUAAAAGUCUAAUUUAAUUAAUCAUUAAGAUUUAAAAUAUAUAUGUAUAUAUAUCAUUCUAAAUUAAACUAUAAACCAUAUUGAAUAAAUAAAUAUUUUAGUUUCAAAAUUUACUUUGAAUAAUUUUUUUGAUAAAAGUUUUGAACUAACAUUGAUAAUUUUUUUUAAAUUAUAAAUUACUAAAAUUAUUAAUCCCACAAUGAAAAUUUUGUUAUCAGUAAUUUAAAGUUUUUGCUAUUAAAGAUACACAUGAUCAAAAAAACAUAUGAGUAGAAAGUAUCAUUUAAUAGACAUUAAUAUUAAAAAUAUACUAUGUAUGUUAAUAUCAUUUAGAUUUAAUUACAUAUCCUAUCAAAUUUUUUUUAAAAAAAUUGUUUGGAUUAAUAAAAUUGAUUUAUACGUUCGCACCAAUUUAAUUAUAUAUGUAAUAGUUACUGACUUUUAAUUAUUCAAUAUAUAUUUAUUAUUUCAUAAUAUGUAAGAACAUAUAAUACAUAAAAUAAUUUAUAUAUAUAAUGUUUAUCCCGCGCAAGGCGCGUAUCUUAAUCUAGUAUACAUAUUAUACGCGGACGUGAAGUCAUGUCCAUAUGAAGAUGUGCAUGUUUUGUGGUCUAUACUCGUGGAGUCUCAUCCACACGCUUUCGUUUUGGUUCAGAGUUCAUAUAUGGAAUGUUCAUGCUCAAGGACGAAACAAAGGAGAAAAUUGUUGGCGAAUCAUUCAUAUAUAUAUAUAUAUAUAUAUAUAUAUGUUACUCUCACUUGUACAUAAC